Mesocricetus auratus (golden hamster) is the source of this 46-nucleotide non-coding RNA. The record is from Rfam. Lineage: Eukaryota; Metazoa; Chordata; Mammalia; Rodentia; Cricetidae.
CCAAAGGCUCUUUUCAGAGCCACCUACAGUUUCGUAUGAAAUAGCU